UCCUUUAAGCGAAGACCUGUUAGGCAAACUUCUCCUUAAACCGUCGAAUUCACUAAGACCGGUUCCACAGACCUGCCUUGAGUCAUUUCUUCAGCGGAGUUUGAAUCGCCCGUGACAACAUAGCGAACGAAGUAAACGACUACUUUUCUGUCACAAAAAACGUACGUGCCCGUAUUAAUAGCAUUUGUUCGGAUGAAAAUGUUCAACAGACUGAAGUAAUUCAAACCAAUCUAGAUAACUACUACUGUGGUUCUAGGAAGUGCUAUACUGCUAACUUCACGCGGAAGGCCUAUUAUUUGAACUUGACCCUACCAACCUUAGGAUGCUAAACUUUAUGUUACAACGCCAAUAGUUGUAGCCAGCGAUGGUAAGAGAAGUUCAUUGUACAGAUCUAGUAGUCGCCGUUAAACUCAGAGUGUCAUUUCAUCAACGGCAUCCCGCAACGAAGUUGAGUCCUUUUGAUCACCGGUGUCGACCCUACAACUGGCUGUUAGGUGUUCCUCGAAUGGCCCUCCUCGAACGGUAGAGGUGUACACUUUAAUGAUACUGACCUCAACCUCCCGGGGAACAACUAAAAUUACCCCUGAAGUAGCCCUACUUGAAAAUACGACUCUUUCUCUGAGGUAAGGAUGGUUCCUAAUUUUAAGAACUUGAGGACAGCGUCAAGUCCUUUUGUUAAGUCACCUACCGAUGUUUAUUCUUUCCUGGACCAUCAUUUUAACUUUCUAAAGGAUCUGGAACAUUUGGACUAAGUCUUCAGUCGAGUUCCUUCCCUCUCUUUGAAUUCCUAGUCUUUGGAAGGUAUACAUGAGAGACACUAGGUCUUACAGUUGGUCCUGAGUACCUAUCUAAUAAUAAUCUCGCCUUCAGAAAUACAAGACCCGCCGGCUCAAUAGGAAUAAAACCGCAAGGAUGUUUUUUCCUCGACUCCAGGUUACCAAUAGGGGAGGGUCAAACCGUCUUACACCCGUACGCAAACGAAUUGUUAAAACUUCUCUUUAAAUCACUUCUAUAGACCUCAUUUGAGCUUUCUUUGCAACGAAGUUUAUACAGAGUUUCACAACAACGUAACCGAAGUAAGUCACCCAUCCUGACAACGAUCUCUGCUACUACUAUCGGGUUUGUCUACCGGGCACGGAUUCAGUAAAACCACGAUAGGCUUCACCGUGCUCUAACUCCUUCUUUAUCUACACCUUCUUCUUUAAUAUAUAGUAGCCGUCGCCGUUGUUAAGAUUGGACUACUUCACGUAGACCUACGUAUCACGGGGAUAGAACAGGAGUUCGACGACUAGGUCAACUUCGUGUUCGGCUAAGACAGAUCGUUCAUACUUCACAAACAUUGAACGGAUUAGACUUCGGACUCUAUGAUCGAAUGCUUGCAUGAAUCAGACUUGAUCUCGGCAAUUCUCUACCCAACCCCUCUGACAGCAUAAAAAACCAUGGUUCAAACAAACGUCGACACCAACACUAAAAUUCCGUGUUCAGACUAGGGUUUAUGAUCCAACUACUAAACGUAUAGGACCGUUAGCCUAAGAAAACCUCCGAUUCAACUCAUCGUCCUCUGCCAUCGAGGUAAGACGACACGAGUUUGUACCUAGGUUUAUCCGAAGUAGUCGUAAUUGAAAAUUCGUGAAACCACGUCGAGAACAAGUAAAACCAACCAACGAAACAGUCGACGUACUACCGGCAGACAGACGGAAAGGAAAAAAAAAAACCUUAAAAGGAAUGAACACAACGUACCCGUUCAAGCACCUACGCGAUCAAUCCGGAACUUGUUACGUUCCACGAAUUCACUUCC
Molecule: ribosomal RNA, 1798 nt
Filed under: Triticum aestivum (bread wheat)
Lineage: Eukaryota; Viridiplantae; Streptophyta; Magnoliopsida; Poales; Poaceae
Description: partial small subunit ribosomal RNA
Source: RNAcentral